AUUUAUACAGUGAAACUGCGAAUGGCUCAUUAAAUCAGUUAUCGUUUAUUUGAUAGAUCCUUUCUACUUGGAUACCUGUGGAAAAGCUAGAGCUAAUACAUGCUAAAAAUCCCGACUUCUGGAAGGGAUGUAUUUAUUAGAUAAAAAAUCAAUGCCUUCGGGCUCUUUGAUGAUUCAUAAUAACUUUUCGAAUCGCAUGGCUUCGUGCCGGCGAUGGUUCAUUCAAAUUUCUGCCCUAUCAACUUUCGAUGGUAGGAUAGUGGCCUACCAUGGUUUCAACGGGUGACGGGGAAUAAGGGUUCGAUUCCGGAGAGGGAGCCUGAGAAACGGCUACCACAUCCAAGGAAGGCAGCAGGCGCGCAAAUUACCCAAUCCUAAUUCAGGGAGGUAGUGACAAUAAAUAACGAUACAGGGCCCAUUGGGUCUUGUAAUUGGAAUGAGUACAAUUUAAAUACCUUAACGAGGAACAAUUGGAGGGCAAGUCUGGUGCCAGCAGCCGCGGUAAUUCCAGCUCCAAUAGCGUAUAUUAAAGUUGUUGCAGUUAAAAAGCUCGUAGUUGAACCUUGGGCUUGGUUGGCCGGUCCGCCUUACGGUGAGUACUGGACCCAACCGAGUCUUUCCUUCUGGGAAACCUUCUGCUCUUUCGGGUAGUUGGGGAACCAGGACUUUUACUUUGAAAAAAUUAGAGUGUUCAAAGCAGGCCUUUGCUCGAAUAUAUUAGCAUGGAAUAAUAGAAUAGGACGUUAUGGUUCUAUUUUGUUGGUUUCUAGGACCAUCGUAAUGAUUAAUAGGGACGGUCGGGGGCAUCAGUAUUCAAUUGUCAGAGGUGAAAUUCUUGGAUUUAUUGAAGACUAACUACUGCGAAAGCAUUUGCCAAGGACGUUUUUCAUUAAUCAAGAACGAAAGUUAGGGGAUCGAAGAUGAUCAGAUACCGUCGUACUCUUAACCAUAACUAUGCCGACUAGGGAUCGGGUGUUGUUCUUUUUUUGACUCACUCGGCACUUUACGAGUACAUCAAGUCAUUGGGUUCUGGGGGG
This 1037-nucleotide ribosomal RNA is filed under the name Nakazawaea sp. RNAcentral describes it as "partial small subunit ribosomal RNA". It matches the Rfam family "Eukaryotic small subunit ribosomal RNA", at positions 72 to 1121 of the family's 1831-position model. Lineage: Eukaryota; Fungi; Ascomycota; Pichiomycetes; Alaninales; Pachysolenaceae. The record is from RNAcentral.